GUGGCUCACAGUCUUGGGUUUUAUGGUUGUGGGGUUAGUUUCCAGGUUGCCUCUGGCUAAUCAUUCUGACUCGGCCCUUCCUAGUGGUGUGUACAUGGCUCAGCCAAGAUGGACUCCAGCAAAGAGGAUUCUGGGAGACUGGUCUUCACAGCUGUGUGGAGGCUUCAGUAGUAGCGGCUCUCGGCCCCAGAGCUCGGGCUCAGCAGUCACGGUGCUGGGCUUAGUCACCCUGGGGCAUGUGGAAUCUUCCCUGACCAGGGAUCACACCUGUGUCCCCGGCAUUGGCAGUAAUUAUCGAUGGCGAGAACUCUCACUUCUCUAUGGUGUCAGAGGGCUUUGAGAAGAGCUGGCCUCCAGCAGCCUGGCUCUCCAGCUUCAUCGCUAGUGAUUUCCUCUCCUCUCUCAUACUUUUCACAUGAACAUCCAGCUCCAGACAAGAUGAAGCAGAUCCACUUUCUCCCUCUUCCUCUGGUUAAGUGCUUCCUAACAUCCCGAACAUCACAGAUACAACAAACAUCUGAAAAGCAAAGCAAAGGCUAGGGACCCCAGGACUCAAGGAGUGACAUGGCACCGAGGUGGUAUCAACAGAGCCCGAGAUGGGUUGCUGAACUUCUGCUCUGGUCCAGCAAUAACGAGAAGCCUGCCACCCCUCAAGUGUCGACGGCUGCAUGGAGACCCUGGACUUUUACCCCCACCUGGCGGUAACCAGGAGGUCACCCUCCACCCCGCCCCACCCUGCCUGGCAGAGCAGUAGGAAAGGGGCCCUGCGGAAACAGAUCAGUCUCAGAACACAAUACCUGAAGUGUCCAAGAUGCAAUUUAAAAUCACUCAUGAUGCCAAGAACCAGGAAAAUUUCAACUUGAAUGAGAAGAGAUAAUUAGCAGAUGCCAACACGGAGAUGACAGAGAUGUUGGAAUUAUCUGACAAGGAUUUAAAAACAACCAUCAUCAACAUGCUUCACUGAGCAAUGGUAACAUUGCUCAAUAACUUAAAGGAACGAAUAGCAAGUCUCAGCGCAGAAAUAAAAGGUGGAAAGAAGGCUCAUAUCCUUUACUUGGGCCUUAAAAGCGCCACUCGUGUUUCCGGGAUGACCACCCUCACCUCGUGCCUGGGCCAAGGCGUCUGCCUCUUCUUAGAACACCCAUCUCUCCUUUUUAAAUCCUGCUUGUCCCGGGGGUCAGCUGAGAUGUCACCUCCUCUGCGAAGCCUUCUUUGACUUCCAUGCCCCUUCCUCCUGAAAGCUCCCCACGCCAUAGCACUCACACUCAACUCCAAUUAUUCUGUCCUCUCUCCCUC
Bos taurus (domestic cattle) is the source of this 1296-nucleotide long non-coding RNA. The record is from Ensembl. NCBI's taxonomy places the organism in Eukaryota, Metazoa, Chordata, Mammalia, Artiodactyla, Bovidae.